GGAUAUAUUAAACAUAUGGACAAAACUGAUGUUCGUACUACUACUACACCCACCUUAAGAAAGGUCACUCUAACUUUAUUACUAGAAGAUGGAAACGAAAUACCUGCAACAUUAUGGGCAGAACAAGCAGAACUCUUGGAAGACAAAUAUCGUGGAGUGGAAAAUAAUAAUAUUGUACUCAUCAUGACAAGCGUCUUGGUCAAGAUAUAUCAAAGUGAAAUAUAUUUGUCAGCAUCCUCAGGCACUAAAUUUUACUUGAAUCAUGAUUCUGAUCCGGUUGAUGCUUUCCGAAAAAGUUUGAGGUAUAAUGGAGAAUGUUUGGUUAAUCUGGGUGACAUAACUAAACAAAAUAAACGCCCAGAAGACCAACAAUCAAUUAAUGAUAUUUGGGAAUAUGUCUCAUCAGAUGACCGUAA
Molecule: non-coding RNA, 416 nt
Organism: Camelina sativa (false flax)
Lineage: Eukaryota; Viridiplantae; Streptophyta; Magnoliopsida; Brassicales; Brassicaceae
Source: RefSeq, a predicted model, not a curated record